GAUGACACAUCCACUCUGCCAUACAACUCAGACCAAGAAGGUGCAAAGCUUAUCUAAACGCUCUGCCCAGAGUGCUUUACUGGAAGAAGAUAUGGCUGCCAACCAGAAGCCUGGAUUCUAGAACAUUCUGUACUCCAGUCUCAUCUAGGGGAUCAUUCAAGUCUCUGAAGGCCUGCUCCCUCCUCCAGCCCAGAGGGAGUAGAAGUAGGCAGAAGUGAUCCUGGAGCUUCAGUCCCUGCCAAGCUGGGAUGUUACUGUGGAAAGAAGGCCCUCUCCCUGGAGGCUCUGUGAUCAGAACCCAGGCUUUUUCUCCAGUCACUUCCAGGU
This 327-nucleotide long non-coding RNA is filed under the name Mus musculus (house mouse). RNAcentral's name for it is "lincRNA-EC178". The record is from RNAcentral. Lineage: Eukaryota; Metazoa; Chordata; Mammalia; Rodentia; Muridae.